GGAGGUCUGGAAGCUGCUGGUUUUUCAUACUUUGACAUAUGUGAGUUCAAUUCUUGCCCUUUUCUUUGAUAUUUUUAUGUUUUUGUGACUUUUACAAUUAGGUCUAAGUGUUUAAUUCAUUAGUUUUUGAUUUUAUGAACAAAAUUAAAAGCUAUCAUUGAUAAGUGUUGGUUGUUUAUGAUGAUAUAAAAUGAAUUUGAAGCUUUGAUUUUGUUGUUUGAUGAUUUUAUCAAGUAAUUUCAAUAGAAAUUGAUUUUAGGACCUAAUUGUGAAAAAGUUGUGAAUUAAGGUUUAGUGUUAAAAUUCUGAUUUUCAAAGGUUGUGUAAUAGUUUAGAAUGAUGGAAUAAAAUUUUAAUUGAGAAAAAUUAGCUUAAUAGAUGGGCUAACUGAGCAAGGACUGAAUUGUAUGAGCUGUGAAAUUUAGAGGAAAAAUGGUAAUAAACAUCUUGAACUAAAACAGUUUUGGACAGCAGCAGUAGGUUGACUUUGAAAAAUCACCAUAAAUUGUAUAAAUUGAAUUAUAGGAUGAAUAAAAUAUGAAAUUAAAGAUUAUUGAGUCUAGUUUCUUAUAGAAGAAACGGUGUAAGCAAUUGAAUUGUAAAUUAUGAGAUAUAAUGAAUUUUGUGAGACAAGGUUAGAACGAAUUCAGGUUCCCCUGUUUUGACUUUGGAAAAUCACCAAAAAUUGGAUAAAAUUAAUUAGAGGCUCAAAUUUAUAUGCUUAGAAUCUUUAAUGAGUCUAUUUUCAAUAGAAAUCAAUGGGAACAUUAUCCGAGUUCUGUACUGUGAUAUAAUUAAUUUUUAGUGAAGAGAGGUCAGAACCGUAGGAUAGUGAAACAGGGGAAAAUUAAAAGAAUAAACUGUACUAAUUGGCUAAACCAAAAAUUCUGAAAAUUUUAUGGUGGAAUGAUAUGUGAGUCUAGUUUCAGGGAAAAUUUACGGAUCUUAAUUUCGAGGUCUGUAGCUCGAAUUAUAAAUGAUUGAGUGACUAUGACUCGUGUGAACAGCUUGAUGUGAGCAUUAAUAAGUAAAUUGUGAAAUUGUACUUACAAGAAUGUUAUAUACAUUAAGGAUGUGGAAUGGAGAGGAGGAGGAGGAAAAACAAAUGAUAUAUGUUUAUAAGAAAACAGUAUGAGAAUGAUACAUAUCAUGACAUGUAUAUAUAUGACUAGUUUCAAUAUGAUGCUUGUUGGGUAUGAAGUUGGAUUGAAAUGUCUAAGGCAAGUAUUUUAUUCCGCGCAUCUGAAAUGUGGUAUUUUAUAAAGAUAUGAUCUAGCUUUAAAUAUAUAUGCCUGAUGAUUAAGCUGAAAAUAUUUGGUAAGAUGAUAAUCAUGGUAUAAAAGUAUAAGUGGUACCAUAAUAGACAAGGUAAAAUGAGUAUGAGAGACACAUGUAUGAUGACAUACAAAUGCUAUGUUUGUAGUUUAAUUGAGAAUGUUUAAUCAUUAAAUGAAUACCAUGUUAUAUGCUUUUGAUUUUGUAUAAGUGUGUAAGAGAUUAAGGUCGACCAAGGCUUGGAAAAUAGCUUAGAUAUUGACCACACAGGUAGAGACACGGCUGUGUGUCUCAGCCGUAUAUGGAACACGACUUUAGGACACGGGCGUGCGAUGUGGCCGUGUGCCCCUAAAUUGAUGAUGAUGUCAUAAACAGAAAGCUCCACAGACAAGGGACACGGGCGUGUCCCAAGCCACACAGGCGUGUGGAAUCCACACGGCCUAAUCACAAGGGCGUGUGGGUACUGUUCACAAGUAAACUUUUUUGAAAAAAAAUUAAUUAAGCGAAAAAUUUUACGAGAAAUCAGUUGAGCUCCGACUUGAUUUUAAUGUUCAUGUUGGGCUUCAAGGGCCUAAAUAAAGGUCGUUAUAUAUAUAUGAUCUCAGAAAGUGAAUAGUAAUGUUUCGAUUAAUCUGUAAAUGUUCUGUAUGUAUUGGUAACACUCUGUAACCCUGUUUUGGCGAUGGAUACGGGUUAGGGGUAUUACAAGUUGUUUAGAAAUUUAAUUAUUUAUUAUAAUUAAUGCUGUAAAUAAUAAUGUAAAUUACUAUUAUUUUCGUAGCCAACAAAGAACUGGAAGCAUCAGCAUCGAAAGGAAAUGAGAAAGUCAUCGAGGACUAAAAUGGGAGAAUUACGGUGUGUAUUACUAUAAUUCAAAUUUUAAUUAUUAUUGAUUGCUGAAAUUUUAAUUGUUAUGUAUGGUAAAUAAGACUUGAGGUAAGUAUGUGAAAUCGAUAUGAAUAUUGAGUGAAAAUGAAAGUGAUAUAAAUUGAAUCAAAUUGAAUUGAAUAAGUGAAUUAUGGAAUAUGUGAUUAUUUGAAAAGUGUAUUGAUUGAAAAUAAAUAAAUUGUGACAAAUGUAUUGUGUUGAUGGUAUACACUUGUGUGAAAAUUAAUUUGUAUAUGAAUUAAGAUAAUAGAUAUUUGAAUUGAAUGAGUAUUGAAAAUUUUUGUGUAAAUGAAAUUGAAAUUAGAAAAAAAAUAAAAUAAUACCCUAUUAACUUGUCGGACUAGAUUCGAUACAAAUGGCAUGCCAUUGGAUUUGUGAUGUGAUGAAGAGAUUGUAGUUCGGCCGAGAGGAUGUUUCUGUUAUUAUAUACUUCGGUUUAUCCGAAUAGGCAUUUAAUGCCUUAUUGGUGUGUUUGGGAGGAUAUAUUAUACCGGUGUGUUAUGGAGGAUUUACAAUAUUCCGGGUGUGUUUGGGUUGGACAUUCUGGUGUGUUUGGAUGGAAUCCACGUAUCUGUCAUAGUCCGAGCUUUGUUAAUAGGGUAAAUAAUUGAAAUGAAAUUUUGAAAAUGAGAUUAUUUGUUUUAGUACUAUUGAAAAGUACGAGAAACGAGAAAGAAUGUAUGAACUAAAUUAUGAAUUGAGUUAGUAUGAGAAAAAUAAAUUAUGAAUUUAAGAUUUAUGAAGUAAAAUAAUUUUAUAUAAAAGUAGUUUAAAUAAUUAUAAAAUUUAUGGUUGAUGUUUGUAAUUUAUUAAUGUUAAAUAGUCUUGAUUUAUAGUAAUACCACUGAGUAUGUCCAUACUCAGUGUACGGUUGUUUCCGUGCGCAGGUUAGUAGAAGUCAAGUGUCCUGGCUCAGCAUCCAGAACAAUCCCGACUCCAACACAAACUUGGUGAUGUAUGUUUUUCUUUUGGGUAAAGGUGGCAUGUACAUAGGUGUUAUUUAGUCACUUGAAUAUGUAUAUUACUUUGGGUAGUGAAGGAUGAAUUAUAAGAUUUAGAUGGUUAAAUGAAAUGGUAAGGAAAGUACAUGAUAUUUUGAUACAUGAACAUUAAGUUGUUAAAUGAAUGAAGUU
This 3296-nucleotide long non-coding RNA is filed under the name Gossypium barbadense (sea-island cotton). RNAcentral's name for it is "long non-coding RNA (GBAR_LNC003637)". The record is from RNAcentral. Lineage: Eukaryota; Viridiplantae; Streptophyta; Magnoliopsida; Malvales; Malvaceae.